CCUACGGGAGGCAGCAGUGGGGAAUAUUGCUCAAUGGACGCGAGCCUGAACCAGCCAAGCAGCGUGAAGGAUGACUGCCCUACGGGUUGUAAACUUCUUUUAUAAAGGAAUAAAGUGAGGCACGUGUGCCUUUUUGUAUGUACUUUAUGAAUAAGGAUCGGCUAACUCCGUGCCAGCAGCCGCGGUAAUACGGAGGAUACGAGCGUUAUCCGGAUUUAUUGUGUUUAAAGGGAGCGUAGAUGGGUUGUUAAGUCAGUUGUGAAAGUUUGCGGCUCAACCGUAAAAUUGCAAUUGAUACUGGCAGUCUUGAGUACAGUUGAGGUAGGCGGAAUUCGAGGUGUAGCGGUGGAAUGCUUAGAUAUCACGAAGAACUCCGAUUGCGAAGGCAGCUUACUAGACUGCCACUGACAUUGAUGCUCGAAAGUGUGGGUAUCAAACAGGAUUAGAUACCCGUGUAGUC
Molecule: ribosomal RNA, 460 nt
Filed under: uncultured bacterium
Lineage: Bacteria
Description: partial 16S ribosomal RNA
Rfam family: Bacterial small subunit ribosomal RNA
Source: RNAcentral